Molecule: non-coding RNA, 28915 nt
Organism: Callithrix jacchus (white-tufted-ear marmoset)
Lineage: Eukaryota; Metazoa; Chordata; Mammalia; Primates; Cebidae
Source: RefSeq, a predicted model, not a curated record
UCCGGGGGGUGUGGAAAGGGGCUGGGUUUGCAGGCACAUGUGUUUUGCGUGCCCGUGUGGAGUGGCGUCUGCAGUGUUGAGGUUCCCUAGUGGGGAGGAGUGUGUGUUGGGGGGGGGCGGGAGGUGGUGGGGGACGGAGGUGAGGGGUGGGCUUAAAGCGCGUGGAGUAGGUUGAAAGAACGGAAAAAGUUGGUAGAAGGCAUGUGGGGAGAAAGGUUUUCCAGGCGGGAAAUGCUUUCUAAGGAUUAGGAGGGAGAAGACUGCCGCAUUCACAAUGUGCUCAGGUUUGAUCGAGAGUUUAGAGACUUCACAAAGAUGCAUUUCAACAGUUUCCCUGAAAGCUAGAGUAAGAUUGCUGGGUGUCAGUUGGGAUCCUGUCUUCUACAGGUUUGUAUCAAGCAAGCUCUUAGCAUUGUGUCUUGAGUGCAUGUCAUGUGCAGCCUGCAUUUAUGUUCGACUGAGCACUUGGGUGGAGAAAUCUAAAGGCUGUUUAUGUUUUUUUCAUUUGUUAACUUUUUUUUUUUUUUUUUUUUUUUGAGACAGUCUCGCCCUGUCACCCAGGCUGGAGCACAGUGGCGCGAUCUCGGCUCACUGCAACUCCGCCUCCCAGGUUCAAGCUAUUCUCCUGUCUCAGACUACCGAGUAGCUGGGAUUACAGGCAGGAGCCACCACGCCCAGAUUAUUUUUGUAGUUUUAGUUGAGAUAGUGGUCACGCUGUAUUUACCAGGCUGGGCUCGAACUGCUGGCCUCAAGUGAUCUGCCCUCCUUGUCCUCCCAGAGUGUGUUGAUAAUCUGUUGAUUUGCAACUUGUUGGUUGUUGGUGGAGUUUACAGUUAACAUAAAUGUGAGUGUAAUCCAUUAGAGAAUGUUGCCUUUAUGAAUAGAGUGGGUGCCAGAUGUUCUGUUGAUUGAGCGUUUCUAAACCAACUUGGAGUCCUACUUUCCUGGUAAUUCUGGAGAACUUUAAGAUCUUGAAAUAAUCUGAUAGGCAGUUGAAUUUGUACAUGAGAACAUUUUGUCUUUUGACACUGUGAAUGAAUCUGAUAGAAAGUUUUAGCAUUUAAUUGCACUAUGAAGAUUAAUACCUUCCCCGGGGUUUUGCUUUCUUGCUUUUUCUUCUAAGAUGGGGUCUUCCUACGUUGCCCGAGCUGGUCUGGAACUCUUGGGCUCAAGCGAUCUUCAUGCCUGGGCCCCCCGAAGUGCUGGGAUUACCGGAGUGAGGCACCAUGCUGGGCCAAGUUUUUCUUUUUUCUCUCUCUUCUCUUUCUUUUAUAAAAGUGUUUCAUUUGUUGUCAUGGGCUUGACUUUAAUGAAGAUAUAUUUGCUGAGGCUGAUAUGCUAAGAAAAUUAAUUUGUAAGUUCAGAUGUUUUGUAAAACAAAUAGUUACUUAUGGGUGGAAAUUAAUUAAUUAAUUAAUUAAUUUGACGGACUUAGUCUCCAGGCUGGAGUGCAGUGGCCUGAUCUUGGCUCACUGCAACUUCGGCCUCUUGGGUUCAAGUGAUUCUCCUGCCUCAGCCUCCUCAGUAGCUGGGACUAUAGGCACGCACGCGCCACCACGCCCAGCUAAUUUUUGUAUUUUGGAAGAGAUGGGGUUUCACCAUGUUGGCCAGGCUGGUCUUGAUCUCUUGACCUUGUGAUCCGCCUGCCUCGGCCUCCCAAAGUGCUGGGGUUACAGGCCCGGCCUUGGGUGGAAUUUUAUCUCUCUUGAGCAUCAACUUUGCAUUUUCAGGGUAAACUUGCUGGAUGUGUGAUUUGUGACUCAAUUUAAUAGUAAUGUUUGAUUAGUAACCAAUGACACUGAACAAUAGUUUUCUUACCCACAGAAAGAGACACUAUUUUUUUUUUUUGAGACGGAGUCUUCCACAGUCAGGUAGGCUGAAGUGCAGUGGUGCAAUCUUCCUGGCUCACAGCAACCUCCGCCUCCCAAGUUCAAGUGAUUCUUCUGUCUCAGCCUCCCAAAGUAGCUGGAACUACAGGCAUGCGCCACCACCCACGGCUAAUUUUUGUAUUUUUAGUAGAGAUAGGGUUUUGCCAUUUUGGCCAGGUGGGUCUCAAACUCCUGAACUCAGGUGAUCCUCCCGCCUCAGCCUUCCAAAGUGCUCUGAUUACAGGUGUGAGCCACUGUGCCGGCUAGAAAGAGGCACUUUUAAAAAUGCUGGUGUUCCACUUCAUAGGUGAUCUUUCUAGGAUUUUCUUUAUUAAAAAAAUUCUUAAAGUUUUAUUUAUUUAUUACUCUUCUCCCUGACAGCUCUGAAGAUCUUUCUAGGAUUUUCUUACUUUUUUUUUGAGACUGAGUUUUGCUUUUGUUGCCCAGGCUGGAGUGCAGUGUGGUGAUCUUGGCUCACCACAGCUUCUCACCCUGGGUUCAAGCAAUUCUUCUGCCUCAGCCUCCCAAGUAGCUGGGAUUAUAGGCAUGCACUACCAUGCCCAGCUAAUUUUGUAUUUUUAGUAGAGACAAGGUUUCUCCAUGUUGGUCAAGCUGGUCUCCAACUCCUGAUCUCAGAUGAUCCUUCUGCCUUGGCCUCCUUAAGUGCUGGCAUUAUAGGCGUGAGCCAUCUUGGUGGCUGAGGAUUUUCUAAUUAACACACAGUAGGUAGUAGAUUGGAGAUAGGAAAGAUAGGACAGGAUGUAAGCAUGUGAAGAUGGGAGGUGAAGGUAAGCACUGUUAAGGUGGAGAAAAAAUAUUGGCAGUGGCUCAAAGGUGGGACUAUUUUAUAUCUUAGGAAAAUAAUUGAGAUAUAAGGACUUGAGAAGAUAGGCAGUUAAUGCUGAAAAGAUUUUAAAAUUAAUACUUUGUCACUUAGUAAAGGUUGUCUGAUUAAAUAGUUGAUUUAUGUAUUUGGAUUCGGUGGUGUUUGCUUUAGCUUGACUGAAGCCUAAGGCUCCUCUUUUCUGUGAUAGGCUUCUUGGUGUCUCUUAGUAAUUCCUUAUGGAUGGAGACCUCAUCAUAAGGAAUCACAACCUAGGGAUUACUGAGAGAUAACCAAUAUUGGGAAAUAAUGUUGCUCAGGAAUCAGGAAAGAAGGUUGUGUUGGUAAUUGUAUGGUGGCUUUGAAUUUUUACACUUGCUGUAAAAUUUUCGGUUGACUUUCUACCUUUUGCUGUAUUCUUAUUCUGUGUGUUUUGAGACAAUAUUGAUAUGUUUAUUUUAUUUUAAAGAGAUGAUGUCUAGCUGUGUUGUCCACACUGGUUUCGAACUCCUGGGCUCUAGCAAUCUCCUGCCUUGACUUCUCAAAGCACUGGAAUUAUAGGUGUGAGUCACCACAUCUGGCCUUGAUUUGUUUUUAUUUUUAUUUUUUGAUUUAUUAAUUAAGUGGAUGAGGCAAUUAGAAUAGAUGGUACUUUUUUUUUUUUUUUUUUUUUUUUUGAGGCAGGGACCAUGGGCGCUGGCUACCAUGCCCCUCUAAAUUGGGAGAGUUGUGGUUUCCCAAUGUUGCGCAGGCUGGUCUCAAAUUUUGGGGCUCAAAUCGAUCUGCCCAUCCUGUGAGUCACCAUACUCUACCAUAAUUUAGUAUUUUUAAUCUCCAUGUUUGUGGAUUUAGAUUGAAUUAUUUGACAACAAAAGAAACAAAAGAUUUAAUAUAGAAAUACAAAUUUAUGGUUUCCCUUUAAGGGCAUCUCUUACCUAUUUUGGAAUUAGGGCUGUUGAUAGAGCAUAAUUCUCUCCAUUUGGACUCAUUCCCUAACUGGAUGACUUUUACAUCUAGGCAUUUGAGAUUUUGACCCUAAUUUUAGUACAUCACAUUUGCAGAAUUGUUUUUGUUUUGUUGGUGUUUCAGGUAGUGUUAAAAACUUGGAGGUGGGUGCAUGAGAAAACUUUAUCCUUAUUUGCAAGCAUUGGAAAACUGAAGCACAAAAGCUUUUUCUUAAUACACUUAGUUGCAAUGAUGUUUCAACCUUAUAAGGAAAUUGCAAUUUAGUUUUUUUCUUCUUCCUCUUUUUGGGGAGGUGGUAGGGGAGUUCUUGCUAUGUUGUCUAGUCCAGGUUGGACUCCCAACUCCUGGGCUCAAGUGAUCCUAGCACCUCAGCCUCCCAAGUAGCUGGGACUACAGGUGUGUGGCACAAUGCCUAAAUUACUUUAAGUUUUUAACAUUUCAUAUUUCUUCUUAGUCUUGGGAUUUUUCUAAGGCUUGAGAGUGAUAUGAUUUGUAUUCAACUGAAUUAUCUAUUCUUCACAUUUAAUGAUGUAAUUCUGAUAUUUUCAACUGGCUAGAUUUUCAAAACUGCUUUAAUUUUCAAAGUGCACAAUUUUUAGCAGGUAAAAUAUUUAUUAUGCCAGUAUUUGUAUUUUAUGUACAUAAUUUGAAACCAAGUAGAUUUAAUUUACCAAAAUAUACUUUUCAGUUCUACUAAUGUAGUUACUAGUGAAUAAGGCAUGUCCCAGAUAGAAUCAUGGCUCCUUUAUUUACUAGCUUUGUGACUGACCGAAUUUUUAACCUUUAAGCCUCAGUUUUUCUCAUCUUGAAAAUGGAGAUGAUGUUAUGAGAAUUACAUGGUAUUUAAUGUACAUAGUGAGGUUUCAGUCUUAGUUGUUGCUAUUAUUGAAUAUUAACAAUCUAUAGUUAACCUCUACAUUUCCGUUCUUCAAAUUUUUGAGAGCAUAUAUUGAAGAAUAGUAAAAUAGCUACAGAUUAUUGAAUUGUGGUUGUCUGUCCAAAUGGAGGAGAGUAGUGCCAUGGAUAACUUGAAGUUCAAAUGUUAAGUUUGGAGUAUGUAACAUAUGAUGUGUGGCAAAGCUGUUUUUGUUUAACCCAGGACUAGACUUUUCAUCUCACAAACCUAUAUUAAGGGACAGAAAAGUGAGUACUGGGAAUUUGCCAUUAGGAUAGCUGGUCUAAGUUUAAACAUUUUUAUUGGAAUAAUACACUAAGUGUAUCACAAAGACUUUAUAAUAACAUUGAUUUCACUCAUUUAAUAUCCUGCUUCCAAGGUGGUAAGCUCUGAUUUAGGUGAUAGGAACAAAAUAAAACAAAACUCAACCCUAAUGGAGUUUACAUUCUAAUGGGACUCUGAACAUCUAUAAGGUAAUACUUGGUUUUGAUAAGUUUUAUGAGGAAAACCCAAGGAGGGAUAAGAUAACUCCAGGUAAGAUUCAGUUAAUGAAUAAAGCACUUUUUCCUGUGAAAGUGCUGUGUGCUUUUGGGGUGGUAUGACCGUAGACUGAAAGUGCAUUUGAAAUGAGCCUUUAAGAAGAUAAAUGAUUAUCAAAAGCAAACCAAAACAUUCUUUUAUAUUCCAUUUUGAGGAAUUUAUUUUUUGACUAGUCAAGUGCAGUAGUGAGAAUGGGGGAAGAGUAUAACUAGGAGUUCGAUCUAUAACUGACUGUGAACAAUCAGUUGAGGAAUUGAUUUCCCCAAUUUUAAACUUUAUUCUGAGAUAAUUGUAGAAUUACCUGCAGUUGUAGGAAAUAAUAUGGAUAUCUCAUGUACUCCUUUUUUAAAUAUAUAUAAAGUAUGGUAACAUCUUUUAUAGCUGUAGUACAGAAUCAUGGCCAGUAUUGAUUGCUGUAGAUUUCCACAGUCUGAUUUGCACUCGUGUGUGUGUGUGUGUGUGUGUGUGUGUGUGUAUAGAUGGUGUCUAACUUAACAAUGGUUUGGACUUCAGGAUCUUGCAAAAGCAAUAAACAUUCGGUAGAAACUGUACUUCCAGUACCCAUUACAACCAUUCUGCUUUUUACUUUUGUACAGUAGUCAAUAAAUUUCAUGAGAUAUUUAAUACUUUAUUAUAAAAUGGGCUUUGUUCUAGAUUAUUUUGCCCAGUUAUAGACUAACUGUAAGUGUUCUGAGCACUUUUAAGGUAGGCUAGGCUAAGCUAUGAUGUUCAGUAGGUUAGGUUUAUUACAUAUGUUUUCACCUUAUGACAUUUGCAACUUAGAUUGGAUUUAUUGGAAUGUAAUCCUGUUGUAAGUAGUCGAGCAUCUGUAUUUGAACCUUUGGAAUUUUAUCACAUGUAGGUUUGUAUCCCCACCAUCACUGUCAAUUUGCCUCUUUAUAACCUGCAUUCCCUCCCAAACUUUGGCAACCACUAAUUUCUUCUCCAUUUCUGCAGUUUUAUCACUUCAAGAAUGUUCCAUAAAUGAAAUUAUAUAGCAUGUAAUCCUUCGGGAUUAGCUUAUUUUUCCACUCAACUUAAUCCCUUUUAGCCAAAUUAUUGGUAUAUGUCAAGAAAUCAUUUGUUUUUAUUGCUGAGUUUUUCCUCUCAUUUUAACUUGAAAAAUUUAUAUCCAUCUUUGUUUUGGAGGAGUAUCUUUUUGCUUGUUUUUCUGUAAGCAUAUACAAAGCUGUGAACACUUACAAUGUCUAGAAAUGGCAUUUAAAAAAUUUGCGCUAGGAGUUUAUUUUAUAAAUUUAUAUAUAUGUACACACACACACACGGACACACACACACACACACAAAUACACAUUGAGACAGGGUCUUGCUCUGUUGCCUAGGCUAGAACGCAUUCCUAGGUUCAAGUGAUCCUCCUGCCUUAGCUGAGUAGCUGGAACUAUAGGCAUAAGCCACCAUGCCUGGCUAACUUUUAAAUUUUUGUAGAGGUGUGGUCUUGCUUGUUUCCUUGGACUCCUGGGCUCCAGUGAUCCUCCCAUGUAAUCCCAAAGUGCUGGGAUGGGAUUACAGGCAUGAUCCACUGGCUUAGCCUCUGGUAGGAUUUUAAGGAGCAUUAAUUGACAGAUUUAAAGACAUUUAAAUAUAAAUACACACACACACACACACAUUUUGCUUAUCUGUUUAUUUCAGGGUUAGUUUUUACUCUUUUAAUCGAAUUAAAAAAAAAUAUUUAUUUGUUGUUUAUUUUGUUUAACGCAGAGUCUCACUCCAUCAACCAGGCCGGAGUGUGGAGUGCAGUGGUCUGAUCUCAGCUCACUGCAGCCUCUACUUACUGGGUUCAAGCAAUUCUCUUGCCUCAGCCUCCUAGCUGGACUUAGGUGCACGCCACCACACCCGGCUAAUUUCUUUGUCUUUUUAGUAGAGACAGGGUUUCACCAUGUUGGCCAGGCUGGUCUCGAACUCCUGACCUCAACUGAUCGGCUCACCUUGACCUCCCAAAAUUCUGACAUUACACUGUGACCCAUUGUUCCCAGCCCUAUUUGAUUUAAAUUUUUACUUAAAAAAAUUUUUAAGGAGAUGGGGCUGGCCUUGAAUUCAUGGCCUUAAGUAAUACUCCUGCCUUAGUCUCUGAAGUAGUAGCUGGGAUGACAGGUGGGAACCACCGUGCCAAGCUAAUUUAGUUUUUUUUUUUUUUUAAGACAGAGUUUCUGUCUGUCUUGAAGGCUGGACUGCAGUGGUGCAGUUUCGGCACAUUGCAGCCUCUGUCUCCCAGGUUCAAGUGAUUCUCAAUUCUCAUGUCAUGGUCUUCUGAGUAGCUGGCAUUACAGGCUUGCACCACCACACCCAGCUAAUUUUUGUAUUUUCAGUAGAGACGAGGGUUUCACCAUGUUGACCAGGCUGGUCUUGAUCUCCUGACUUCAAGUAAUCCACCUGCCUCAGCCUCCCAAAGUGCUGGGAAUGCAGGUUCACACCACUGUGCCUGGCCCUAAUUGAGUUUUUAAAUGAUGAAAGGUACAUUUUUUUGGUAAAAAUUUACAUCGAAGUAGACAUGUAUAAAGUCAAAAUAAAUAAGUCUCCUCUUCUUAUUGCUCAGGUUUAAUCAUUUUUUUUUUUUUUGAGACAGAGUUUUGCUCUUGUUACCCAGGCUGGAGUGCAAUGGCGCGAUCUCGGCUCACUGCAACCUCUGCCUCCUGGGUUCAGGCAAUUCUCCUGCCUCAGCCUCCUGAGUAGCUGGGAUUACAGGCACGCGCCACCAUGCCCAGCUAGUUUUGUGUAUUUUUAGUAGAGAUCGGGUUUCAUCAUGUUGACCAGGAUGGUCUUGAUCUCUUGACCUCGUGAUCUACCCGCCUCGGCCUCCCAAAGUGCGGGGAUUACAGGCUUGAUCCACUGCACCCAGCCAUCAUUGUUAAUAAUUUGUUUGUGUAUAUAUCUUUUCCACACAUUGUAUGAUGCAGAUAUAUAUCUAGUAUAUAUAUUUAAAUGUAUAUUUGUUGUGAACUGAACGCAAGCCCGGGAAUCUCGUCCAGCGAGAGGGUCCCAAACCUGGAAGAGAGCGCGCGCUGGAAAAAAGGAGAUAGAAAAGGCGAGGUGUGGAGGGCUACAUGCGCUAUGCUCAUGCAGCAAUUUUAUUUUUGCAAUGUGUUUCAUUAUAUACUUUUCUGAAGUUAAAGUUGUGUACGCCAGAUCAACGUACUUAAGUUACAGCAAGCAAGUUACGCCCACUAAGUUAUGCCCAGUAAGUAAGUUAAGUCCAGUAAGUAGGUUACGCCCAAUAGGUCCAGGUAAGUAAGUUACAGUCACGCCCAGUAAGUUAUGGUAAGUUACAGUUACACCCAGUAAGUUAGGAUAAGUAAGUUACCAAGUGUAAAUACUUAAUAUUUUACAGUGAAGGUAACAAGGGUCAAAAAUGAACACAAUCAAGCAAUAAACCAUAAGAAGCCAAAAGUGGACACAUUGCCUCCCAAGUCCUCAUAUCCAUAAAGUAAUGUCUGUUAAUUAUUUAGAAUAACAUAGUCCCUGUCUCGGUUCCUGCCUUCUCUCAGCUCAACUCCCCCAACCGGGGAUCUGUAUCCGGGCUCAAGCUCACCAUAUGGUAAGGCCCAUUUCCUAGGGGCCUCACACGGGAGCGAUCCCCACAGGUCUCCCUUAUAUAUUUACCUAUAUAUACUCUGUGUGUGUGUGUGUGUGUAUAUAUAUAUAUUUAUUUUUUGAGAUGGAGUCUUGCUGUGUCAUCAGUCUGGAGUGCAGUGGCACGAUCUCGGCUCACUGUAACCUCACCUGUGUCAGCCUCCUGAGUAGCUGGGAUUACAGGCACAUGCCACCACGCCCAGCUAAUUUUUGUGUUUUAGUAGAGAUGGGGUUUCACCAUGUUGGUCAGGCUGGACUUAAACUCCUGAUCUUGUGAUCCACCCACCUUGGCCUCCUGAAGUGCUGGGAUUACAGGCUUGAGCCACCACACCCAGCGAUACAUUUUUUUUUCUUUCUUUUUUUUCUUUACAUGAUGAGCUCCAAUUUACAGACAUUUUUCAUAUUUAAACAAAUCCUAAUAUAAGAAAAAUACGAAUAAUAUUUUGCUUUUGGAAUUAGAAAUGUAGUACAUGCACAGGUUAAAAAUUUAAAUAGCACCAAAGGGUACACAGUGAAAAAUAGCUUACUUCCCUCUCUAGUUACCUGAUUCCUGCCUCCCAAAGACAGUCGCUCUUUCUAGCUUAUUUGGUAGCCAUUGACAAAUAUUUUUUGCCUAUACUGUUAUUCAUAUGUUUAUAUUUCUCUAUGUCUGACACAUUAACACACGUAUAUAUGCACAUGCAUGAGUACACACAUGGAAGCACUCUGAAUUUUCUUACCUAAUGGCUUAUCUUGUAGUUCGUUCCACAUUCACACAUAGAAAUCUACCUUAUUCUGUCUCAUGGCUAUGUAAAUAUUCCAUUAUAUGUUUGUAUUAUUUGAUUCUUUAUAAUGGAUAUUUCAAUUGUUUAUAGGCUUGCUAUUACAAGUAAUGGCACAAAGUUAUGUUUUAAUGCAUUAUGUAUAUUUAAUACAUAUACAUUUACACAAACAUGUGAGAUAUACUUAAAGAGCAUACAAAGUCUUCAGUAAUCUGGUUCACACUUGAUACAUUUUAAAAAACAACAACAACAACACUGUGUGGGGUGUUGCGACUCAUGUCUGUAAUCCCAGUACUUUGAAAGGCCGAGACAGGAAGAUUGCUUGAGCUCAGAAGUUCGAGACCAGCCUGGGUAAUAUAGUGAGACUCUGUCUCUACUAAAAAUUUAAAAAAAAAAAAAAAAAAAGGCCAGGUAGGGUGGCUCACGCCUGUCAUCCCAACACUUUGAGAGGCCAUCGUGGGCAGAUCACGAGGUCAAGAGUUUGAGACCAGCCUGGGCAACACGUGAAACCCCGUCUCUACUGAAAUACAAAAUAUUAGCUGGGCAUGGUGGCAUGCACCUGUAAUCCCAACUACUCAAGAGGCUGAGGCAGGAGAAUUGCUUGAAUCGGGAGGCAGAGGUAGCAGUGAGGUGACAUUGUGCCACUGCACUCCAGCCUGGACAACAAAGCAAGACUCCGUCUCCAAAAAAAAGGAAACGUAGCUAGACUUGGUGGCUCACCUAUAGUCCCAGCUACUCAGGAGGCUGCUACAGGAAGAUUACUUGAGCCCAAGCGGUGGAGGACACAGUGAGCCGUGAUCAUGCCGCUGCAUUCCAGUAAGACCUGUCUCCAAAAAUAAAAAAAAAAGAAAACCACUGAAUUUAUAUACCAUCAGUUGAAAAUAAUAUACUUGAAAUACUCAUUCAUAUUUGCCCCAGUAAAAUUUUUUCUGUCCAGUGGCUCGCGUAUCUAGAGAUAGUUAUAUAAAUCAUACCUUUGGUAACUUAAUAAGUUAAUAUUUGUAAAUAGUCUAGUAGUCGCUGGGAAGUUUCAUUUGUGUAUGUAAUAAAAUUAUAUUGUUACUGAUUAUUUACUAGUUGAUCUACAUUCAUGUUUUGUUUUGCUUUGUUUUUUAGAGGUGUUGCUCUGUCACCCAGGCUAUAGUGCAGUGGCACCCUCAUAGCUCACUGCAUGCACGCUUGAACUCCUGGGCUCAAGUUAUUUUCUUGCCUCAGCCUCUCGAGUAGUUAGGUCUACAGGGAUACACAAUCAUACCUGGCUAAUUUUUAAAAAUUUUUCUGGAGACAGGGUCUCGCUAUGUUUCCUAGGCUGGUUUUGAACUCCUGGCCUCAAGUGAUCCUCUAACCUCAGUCUGACAAAGUGCUGUGCUGGGAUUACAGGCAUAGGCCACCAUGCCUAUGAUACAGAUCUUUUACACUGCUUUUAGAAAUAUCAAAUAGAGCAAUAAUAUGGUUGGAAAAAACUGGAAAGGACUUUAUAUAUAUCUUUAACUUUCUUAUUUUGCUCCUACAUUUCUAAGUUUACUCUGCUAUAAUACUGAUGUUCCCAAAUUUGAUGAUAUGCUUGAUUGAGAGAUGAGAUCAGGGUGAAGAAAGGCAAAAUGGUAUGAGGCCUUUUAAAUUCCAUAAGUCAGUUUUAUGGUUCAGAGAUGCUGUAGCCCUAUGUCAGCUAUCUCUGAGGAAGAGCCUCCUUGAUAAUGGUGGGGCAGGGAAUCUUCUGCUUACUCCCAAAACUUUGGAAAAUUAGUAAGGCAGCAUUUAAAGACAAUUUUUAGCUGGGUCCUCAGAUACGAUAUACGUUUUAAAAAGAUUUGGCCAGGUGCAGGGCCCAUACCUGUAAUCCCAGCACUUUGGGAGGCUGAGGAGGGCAGAUCACCUGAGGUCAGGAGUUUGAGACCAGCCUGACCAACAUGAAGAAACCCUGUUUCUAUUAGAAAUACAAAAAAUCAGCCAGGUGUGGUGGCACACGCCUAUAAUCCCAGCUGCUUGGGAUGCUGAGGCAGGAGAAUCACCUGAACCCGGGAGGCAGAGGUUGCAGUGAGCCAAGAUAGCACCAUUGCACUCCAGCCUGGGCAACAGGAGCGAAACUCCAUCUCAAAAAAAAAAAAAAAAAAAGAUUUAAUGUAUAUGUAUAUAUAAAAAAUAUCUUUGAAAAACUUAGAUUAUGGUAAGCAUUCAGCUUAGUGUGAUUUGGGCUAAUAAUUAAUGGAAAUUAAUUCAUUUAAUUGAUUAAUAAGCAUUUAUUGUUUACUCUGUUAGGUACUGUUUUAGGUUCUUAGGAUAUGUUAGUGAACAAAAUAGAUUAAAGAAAAAUCCCUUCCUUUGUGGACCUUACAUUUUUAUUUAUUUAUUUUGAUGUGGUUUCACCAUGACGGCCAGGCUGGUCUUAAACUCCUGACCUCAGGUGAUCCACCCAUCUUGGCCUCCCAAAGUGCUAGGAUUACAGGCGUGAGCCACCAUGCCUGGCCUGGACCUUACAUUUUAAUGUAUAAGACAGACAAUAUUUAUAAAUAUAACUCCAGUAAUCUUAUAUUAUGUUAGAAGAUGACAAGUCCUACUAAAAACAAAAGUGUAGUAGAGUAAGAGGGAAUAAGAGUAUAGGAAUAGGGAGAUCAAGGUAAACCUCUUGGGAUUGAAAUUUGAGUGUAGACUGGAGAAUGGUAGCCAAGCCAGUAAUCAGGAGAAAGUAUCUCAGGCAGAGGAAUAGAAGGCUCAUAGAUUGGUGUGGAGAGAGGAACAGGGAAGAAUUGGACUUUUGCUUUUAUUUUGUGUCAAAAGGAGGGAUAGGAUCUAAGGUUUUUAAUUUUAAUUUAAUUUAAUUUUUAUUUUUCUUGCCCCUCCCUUGGAUCUAGGUUUUUAAAAGAGUUCUGUGGUAAGAGAGCAGGAGAGAAUUCAGGAGAUAAUUUGCAAUAAUCCAGCAAGAGAUGAUGUAGCUUAGGCAGGUUACAGCGUUGAAAGUGGCAAGAACUAGUCAGUGUUCAGAUAUAUUUUCCAGGUACAGCCAGUGUAAUUUCACAUGAAAUGUAGGGCAUUGGAGAGAGGAGUCAAGGGUUGGUUUCAAGGAUGUGGAAGGAUGGAUGGACUUGGUACCACCUGAGAUGGGGGAAUGCUGCAGACAGAGCAAAUAUGGGAGAGCAGAUCAGGAGUUUGGUUUUGAACAUGUUACUGUGAGAGUUAUAUUAGCCAUUCAAGUGGAGAUUUUGAGGAGGUAGGUAGAUACGAAUCUGGAGUUCUUGAGAGAUAUUAGGACUAGAGAUAAUAACUUUCAAGUCAUCAGUGUAUACAUGGCGUUUAAAGUCAUAGAACUGUAUGCAUUCACCAAGGAAUAUGGCUUGUAUGAGUUCACCAAGGAAUAAGAACUUGGGAAACACAAAUAUUUAUUGAUAAAUCAGUAGGGUAUUAUCUUUUUUCCUAGGAGAAAGAAAGAAUAGGUAAGUAACAUUUGGGUUCUACAUAUGCGCCAGUCAUGCUGUAUAUAUAUUUGCAUACACUAUCCUAUCAUAUUUAAUAACUAAUCACUUUCAUGAAAUAGAUAAUGUUUUCAUUUGACAGUUAAAAACUAGCACUUGAAAAGACUAGUUUUAAUAACCAAUUACAAGUUCUUUCACUAUCCUUUGUAUAUGACCUUAAGAAAUUGAGUUCAGAGGCCGGGCGUGGUGGCUCACCCCUGUAAAACCAGAACUUUGGGAGGCCAAGGUGGGUGGAUCGCCUGAGGUCAGGAGUUUGAGACCAGCCUGGCCAACAAACCCUGCCUCUAAUAAAAACACAAAAAUUAGUUGGUCGUGGUGGUGGGCACCUGUAAUCCCAGCUAGUCAGGAGGCUGAGGCAGGAGAAUCCCCUGAACCCAGGAGGCAGAGGUUGCAGUGAGCCAAGAUCUCCAGACAAGAGUGAAACUCCAUCUUAAAAAAAAAAAAAGAAGAAGAAGAAGAAGAAAAGAGAGCCUCGGCUUAAGAUGCAGACAUGGCCAAGUCCAAGAACCACACUACACACAGUCAGUCCUGAAAAUGGCACAGAAAUGGUAUCAAGAAACCCCAAUCACAAAGAUACAAAUCUCUUUAGUAGGUGGACUCCAAGUUCCUGAGGAACAUGUGCUUUGUCAAGAAGCACAACAAGAAGGUCCUAAAGAAGAUGCAGGCCAGUAAAGCCAUGAGUGCAUGUGCUGAGGCUAUCAAGGCCCUCAUAAAGCCUAAGGAGCUUAAGUCCAAUAUCCCAAAGUGUACCAGUCACAAGCUCGAUCAACUUGUCUACAUUGCUCACCCCAAGCUUAGGAAGCAUGCUUGUACUCGCAUUGCCAAAGGGGUCAGGCUAUGCCGGCCAGAGGCCAAGGAUCAAACCAAGGCCCAGGCUGCAGCUCCAUCUUCAGUUCCACCUCAGGCUCUGAGGUGCCAAGUCCCCUAAAAAGGCUUCAGAGUAGAUAUCUCUGUCUGCCAGCAUGAGGACAGAAGGACUGGUAUGAACCCCCAGGCUGCCGUCUGCAUGGGGCUGGGGUCAUCCUGUGCUAUGUACACAUCAACCUGAGGCAGGAUUUAAGAAAAAAAAUAAGAAAUUAAGGUAGGAUAGCAAAGUUUUUCUGUAGUGUUGAGAGUAGAAUGUAAACCUUGUUCUUUUUAAUACUGUAUAUCCUAUUACAAUUAAGUCCUUAUGUGAGCUGAACAUUCAGUCUUUGCUAGAUUAUUCUAAUUAGCUGCCCUUGUAUGGUUAGGUUAGCAUGGAGUUAAAGAUAAAUGCCCCGUUUAAAAAAAUGACAACCCUUCAGAAAACUCUGGCAGUUUACAGAAGAAAUACAAAUGGCUAGUAAGUAUAUAAAAGUUCCUAACGAGUGAAUUAAAGCAAAUUAAAACAAGUGUUCACUUAUUUAUUUAUUUUUUACCUUUCAAGUUGAUAAGAGCACAAAGAUUGCUGUUACCUAGUGUUGGUGUGGGUUUGGGGUGGGGGAAAGACACUCCGGUAUGAUGCUUUUAGAAGUCAGUAUUCAUUAAAAUUUAAGAUGUCCACAUCCUUUGGCACAAUAGUUUAUUUUUAGACUGAUUCUAUGGAAACACAAGAUAUAUGUACAGAGUUAUUCACUGCAGCUGAUCUGUGAUAGUGAAAACUUAAAAAUAGUGAAAUUCCUCUUUUUUUUUGUAAAUUGGUGUCAUAGUGAAGUUCCUCUUAAUAAGGGUGUCAUCUAUAUAGCAGAAUAUCAUAGAGCAGUAAAAACAAGCAGGAGUUUUAUGUACAGAUAAGAAGAGAUGCUUAAAAUAUAUUACUAAGUAGGAGGAAGAAGAAAUUAAAAAACAGUAUGUGUAAUACACUUUUAAUUUUAAAAGAUAUGUAAGAAGAAAAGUUGUAGAGACAGCAUUGAGUUGUUAAUAUUAGUAUUUCUGUGGUGGCAUGGUGGGAGACUUUGAUUUCUAUAUUUCUGGAUUUUUUUUUCCUCAAGUCUUUUAUAAUCAGAAAAAGAAUCAGUAAAGAUACAUACACGCACGCAAACACGCAUGCACACACGCACACACAACGAACCCAACCCCAACCCUUCAGAUGCUAGGUUACUACAGGAUUUAGCAAAAGAAUUAGAAAUGCAUGUGGUUUGCUAGUUUAUCCCAAAUUCAGCAUUAGUCUUCUGAGCUCAUCCAUGGGUUUGGAUGAUCUUAAACUAAUAUUUUAUGUGACAAGUAAGCUGGUUUUAGAAACAAAAUUUUUUUCUCUGUUAUUAAAUUCUUAGCCACAUUACGGAGAAAACAAUACUGGAAAACUUUUUAGGUCAUUUAUUACUUUAUUGGCAUCUUUUGAUUGUGUAGAAAAUAGUAAUUAUCUUAGCAUAAAUCUCAAAACUGCUUUUUAUUGGAGGAUAUUUUUCAGUGAGUAUUCAAUUUGAUGAUACUAAAUAGCUUCACCCAAGAGCCCAAUUUAUUUAGUUGUGGACGGCCGGGCGCGGUCGCUCACGCCUAUAAUCCCAGCACUUUGGGAGGCCAAGGCGGGUGGAUCACAAGGUCAAGAGAUCGAGACCAUCCUGGUCAACAUGGUGAAACCCCAUCUCUACUAAAAAUAGAAAAAUUAGCUGGGCAUGGUGGUGCACGCCUGUAGUCCCAGCUACUCAGGAGGCUGAGGCAGGAGAAUUGCUUGAACCCAGGAGGUGGAGGUUGUGGUGAGCUGAGAUCGCGCCAUUGCACUCCAGCCUGGGUAACAAGAGGGAAACUCCGUCUCAAAAUAAAUAAAUAAAUAAAUAAAAUAUUUAGUUGUGGAUGUUCAGGUUUGUAGCAGAUUCAUCGUGGAAGGCCUAUAGUGUUGCAGUAUUCCCCAGAAUCUGCUGUUUUUACUGGAGUCUUACUGCACUGCAGUUCUUUUCUGAUUGAAGAGGCUAAAUAAUGUAUACUGCAAACAUGUUCAGGUAAAAACAGUGUACUGUAUACACUCCAGUGAAACAGUGGGUUCUCAGCUGGGUACUUGUCUUUAAGCCACUUUAUUCAUCUGAAAUUUCUGUUUAGGGAAUUGUUUUUUCUUCUGGCUGUAGGCAUUGCUGUGGCUAUCUUGGUGCGUAGGUAUAACAACCUCUCUAAGAGCCAAUUUGAGAUGGAGUUUUGUUCUUGUCACCCAGGCUGGAGUACAAUGGUGUGACCUCAGUAUACUGCAACCUCCGCCUCCCAGAUUCAAGCACAUCUACCACCUCAGCCUUCUGAAUAGCUGGGAUUACAGAUGUGGGCCAGUAGGCCCACCUAAUUUUUGUAUUUUCAGUAGAGACAGGGUUUUGCCAUGUUAGCCAGCCUGGUCUUGAACUCCUGACCUCAGGUGAUCCACCUGUUUCGGCCUCCCAAAGUACUAGGAUUACAGGUGUGAAUCAUGACACCCAGCCUGACUUUGCAGUUUUUAAAACAGUGCUAACUUUCCUUCCUGGAGGUCUGUUAUUUUAUGCAGACUACUCACUGUCUACUAAAUAACGUAGUAUGUGUUCUCUGGACACUGACUAGAGAACGUAAUUUAAUUAUUGGGCACAUAUUGAACAUUUCUAUGCUAGGUAUCAUAAUAGAUAUUGGGGAAUACAAAGAUGUAUCAGGGUGGGCACAUUGGCUCAUGCCUCUAAUCCCAGCACUUUGGGAGGUCGAGGAGGGUGAAUCACUUGAGGUCAGGAGUUUGAGACCAACCUGGCCAACAUGAUGAAACUCUGUCUCUACCAAAAAUACAAAAAAAUUAGCUGGGCAUGGUGGCAUGCACCUGUAGUCUCAGCUGCUUGGGAGGCUGAGGCAGGAGAAUCGCAUGAACCCUGGAGGCAGAGGCUGCAGUGAGCCAAGAUGGCACCAUUGCACUCCAGCCUGGGCAACAAAGCAAGACUUCAUCUCAAAAAUAAAAAAUAAAUAAAUAAAAUAAAGAUGUAUCAGACAUGGCCCUGGUCAUUUGUGAGUGCAUAGAUUAAUAAAGGAGUUUGACAUUAUAAAGUAUUACAUAGUAUGAUAUUAUAUAUAUAUACACACCUCUCAUAUAUGUACAUAAAGUGUGUAAGAAACUCUAUUCAGGGAUAUUUUGAGAGGCAAUAUUUGAAAUAUUUUUCAAAAGAUGUAUGAGGCAUACCUGGUAGAAAGGGCAUUCUAGGCAAAUGAGAAAAGACACAGGUUUGAGAGGAAGCACUAUCCAUAGUUUUGUAGUCAUCUGACGGUAAGUGAAUAGGCUAAUUAUGGAGAUAGGUACUGGAUAAUAAGUUGUGGCCACGUUUUGAAGGCCCUUCUAGGUUAUGCUAGUAAGUGAUAUGAUAAGAUCUGUGUUUUCCCACCCUCAAAGAUGGCAGAAGGCAAGAAAUAAAGUCAGAGCUGAACUGAAUAAAAUUGAGAUUCAAGAAACUACAAAAGAUUAAUGAAAACAGAAGUUGGUUAUUUAAUAGAAUAAAGCAGUUUCUCUUUAAACUGCUAACUAGACUAAUAAAAAAGAUCCAAAUAAGCACAGUCAGAAAUGACAAAGGGGACAUUACCACCGACCCCACAGAAGUACAAAAAACCCUCAGACUAUUAUGAACACCUCUAUGCAUGUUAAGUAAAAAAACUACAAGAAAUGGGUACAUUUCUGGAAGCAUAUCUGCGUGUUAAGUAAAAAAACUACAAGAAAUGGGUACAUUUCUGGAAACAUAUCUCCCAUGAUUGAACCAGAAAGAAAUUGAAACCCAGAACAGAGCAAUAACGAGUUCUGAAAUUGAAUCUGUAGUAAAAAACUUACCAAUCAGAAAAAGCCCAGGACCAAAUGGAUUCAAAGCCAAAUUCUACUAGACAUAUUAAUAUCAAGAGCUGGUACAAUUCCUACUGAAGCUAUUCCAAGAAAUUGAAGAGGAGGGAUCCCUCCCUAUCUCGUUCAAUGAGGCAGCAUCAUUCUGAUACCAAAACCUGGCAGAGAUGCACAAGAAACAAAAACUUGAGGCCAGUCAGUAUUCUUGACGAACAUAGAUGCAAAAAUAUUCAACAAAAUACUAGGACACUGAAUCCAGCAACAUAUCAAAAAGCUAAUCCACUAGGCCAGGAGCAGUAGCUUUUACAUGUAAUCUCAGUACUUUGGGAGGCCAAGGCAAGUUGAUUGAGGACAGGAAUUCAAGACCAGUCUGUGCAACAUGUUGAGUCCCCAUCUCUACCCAAAAAAACUACAAAAAUUAGCUGGGUGUGGUGGCACAUGCCUGUAGUCCCAGCUACUUAAGAGGCUGAGGUGGAAGGAUGGCUUGGGCCCAGGAGGCAGAGGUUGCAGUAAGCUGAUAUUGGGCCAUGGUACUCCAACCUAUGUAACAGAGCGAGACCCUGUCAAGAAAAAAAAAAAAAAAGCUAAUUCACCAUGAUCAAGUAGGCUUUACCCGAGUUGCAAGACUGGUUGGGCAUAUGCAAAUCAAUGACUGUUAUCUGUCGCAUAAACGGAGCUAAAAAUCACAUGACCAUUUUAAUAGAUGCAGAAAAAGUUUUCAGUAAAAUUCAACAUCGCUUAAUGUUAAAAACCCUCAACAAACUUGACAUUGAAGGAACACACUUCAAAAUAAUGAGAGCCAUGUAUGACAAAGCCAGCAUCAUACUGAAUGGGCAAAAGCUUGAGAACUGGAAGAAGACAAGAUUGCCUACUCUCAACACUCCUAUUUAACAUAGUACUAGAAGUCCUAGCCAGAUCAAUCAGGCAAGAGAAAGAAAUAAAAGGCAUCCAAAUAGGAAGAGAGGAAGUCAAACUAUCUCUGUAGAUAAUAUGAUUUUGUACCUAGAAAACCCCACAGUCUGCCCAGAAAUUUGUAAGUCUGACAAACAACUUCAGCAAGGUUUCAGGAUACAAAAUUGAUGUGUAAAAAUCCAUAGCAUAUCUAUACACCAACAGCAUCCAAGCUGAGUGCCAAAUCAAGAAUGCAAUCCCUUUUACAAUAGCUGCGAAAAAUAAAAUACCUAGCAAUACAGCUAAUCAGGGAGGCGAAGGUGAAAGAGCUCUGUAAUGAGAAUUAGGAAACAUUGUUAAAAGAAAUCAGAGAUGACACAAACAAAUAGAAAAAUAUUCCAUGCUCAUGGAUCGAAAGAAUCAAUAUUGUUAAAAUGGCAGUAGUGCCCAAAACAACAUACAGAUUCAGUGCUAUUCCUAUCAAACUGCCAAUGACAUUCUUCACAGAAUUAGAAAAGACGAUUUUGAAAUUUCUAUGAAACCAAAAAGCAGCCUGAAUAGCCAAGGCAAUCCAAAAAUAAGCAAAAAGAGCAAAGCUUGGAGGUAUCACCUUACCUGAUUUCAAACUAUACUUCAAGUCUUUAGUAAUCGAAACAGCAUGGUACUGUUACAAAAACAGUGACAUAGACCAAUGGAACAGAAUAGAGAGCCCAGAUAUAAAGCCUCACACCUACAAUCAUCUGAUCUUCCCCAGAGUUGACAAAACAAGCAAUGGGGAAAGGACUUCCUAUUCAGGAAAUGGUGCUGAGUUAACUGGCUAGCCAUAUACAGAAGGUUAAAACUGGACACCUUUAUUACACCAUAUGCAAAAAGUUAAUUCAUGGUGGAUUAAAGACUUAAAUGUAAAACCUAAGACUAUAAAAACCCUUGAAGAAAACCUAGAAAAUACAAUUCUGGCCAUAGGCCCCAGCAAAGAUUUCAUGAUGAAGAUGCCAAAGCAAUUGGAACAACAACAACAAAUUGACAAAUGAGACCUAAUUAAAGAGCAUCUGCACAGCAAAGAAACUAUCAAUAGAGUAAACAGACAACCACAGAAUAGGAGAAAAUAUUUGUAAACAGUGCAUCUGACAAAGGUCUAAUAUCCAAAAUCUAUAAGGAACUUAACAAGCAAAAAACAACUCCACUAAAAACUGGGCAAAGGACAUGAACAGACACUUUUCAGAAGAAGACAUACAUGCAGCCAAUGAGCAUAUGAAAAAAUGCUCAACAUUGCUAAUCAUUAGAUAGAAAUCAAAACCACAUUGAGACACCAUCUCACACCAGUCAGAAUGACUAUUAUUAAAAAGUAAAAAAAUAACAGAUGCUUCUGAGGUUGCAGGGAAAAGGGAACACUUAAUACACUGCUGGUGGGAAUGUAAAUAUGUUCAGCCACUUAUUUUCACGAUUUCUCAAAUAACUUAGAAUUACCAUUUGACCCAGCAAUUUCAUUAUUGGGUAUAUACCCAAAGGAAUAUACAUUGUUCCGUCGUAAAGACACAUGCACAAAUAUGUUAAUUGCAGCACCAUUCACAAUAGCAAAGACAUGGAAGUGACCUAGAUGCCCAUCGGUGGUAGACUGGUUAAAAGAAAUUCGGUACAUAUGCUCCAUGGGUUACUACACAGCGAUAAAAAAGAACAAGAUUAUGUCCUUUGCAGCAGCAACGUGGUUGGAGCUGGAGGCCAUUAUUCUGGAUGAAUUAAUGCAGGAGCAGAAAACCAAAUACCACUUAGAAGUGGGAACUAAAUAUUGAGUAUACAUAGACACAAAGAAGGGAAUAAGACACCAGAGCUGCUGCCUUUUUUGUGUGUGUGAGAUGGACUCUCGCUCUGUUGCUCAAGCUGGAUGGAGUACAGUGGCGCCAUCUCAGCUAACUGCAACCUCUGCCUCCCGGGCUCAAGCGAUUCUUCUGCCUCAGCCUCCUGAGUAGUUGGGAUUACAGGCACGUAGCACCACGCCUGGCUAAUUUUUGUAUUUUUAGUAGAGACAGGGUUUCACCAUGUUGUCCAGGCUGGUCUCAAAUGUUGGACCUCAAGUGGUCCUCCCACCUCGGCCUCCCAAAAUGCUGGGAUUACAGGUGUAAGCCCUGCGCCUGGCCAACACCGGAGCCUUCUUGAGCAGGGAGAGUUGGUAGAGGGUGAGGAAGGGAAAAGUACCCAUUGGGUACUGUGCAUAUUACCUGGGUGACAAAAUAAUCUAGACACCAAAUCCUUUCCAUAUGUAAUUUACCCAUGUAACAAACCUGCACAGAGUUUUUUCUAAACAAAAAACUUAUUUAUUUAUUUUCAGAUAGAGUUUCACUCUGCCACCCAGGCUGGAGUGCAGUGGUAUAAUCUCAGCUUACUGCAACCUCCUCCUCUUGGGUUCAAGUGAUUCUCCUGCCUCACUCAGCCUCCUGAGUAACUGGGAUUACAGGUGUGUGCCACUACACCUGGCUAAUUUUUGUAUUUUUGGUAGAGAUGGGGUUUUAUCUUGUUGGCCAGGCUGGUCUCGAACUCCUGAUCUCAGGUGAUCCACCCGCUUGAGCCUCCCAAAGUGCUGGGAUUAUAAGUGUGAGCUUGGCCUUACUCUUUAUUUUAAAAAGAUAACUAUAGUAGGCUUUUUUUUACUUCUAAGGAUGGAAAUGGGAAAUCAUUUGGAACAGUCUUUAUGAUAGUUAAAGAGAAAAAUGCCAAAGACUUGGUUUAAGGCAGUGGAAAUGAAAUAGAGGGGGCACAUUUUAGACUUGGUGAAGCAGCUACUACUUGGGAUGCAUAAAGGAGAGAAGGGAGGCAAGGAUAAGUUUUUAGUUUUAAAGUCCUUGUCACAUAUCUUAGAGACUUUUAGUAAUAGGCAGUUGGAAAUGUGAGUUAGGAAAUUAGGAUUGAGUGAGAUGAAUGUAGUCUAGUGAUUUUUGAAACGUUUGAAAUAUGACUCUUAAGACUGUCAGGACUUCAAAUCUCUGACACUGUCACUAAGAUGGGAAAUAAGCAUAUAUCUCUUAAAGAACUGUUGAGAUUGUGAGUGUAAACCUAUCAAUAAGUGAUGCUUGGCAUUAUUCUGUCUGUCUAUCAGAACUAGGAAUGAAUGUUUCGCAGCAAAAGGAUAAGAGUUUAAGAGGGAAAGACUGGUCUAGUUAGAUUCUGGAAAGUUAAGUAUGUGAGCUAUAUCAUUAGCUUUUUAUGGAAUUAACUCACUUGAGUUGUGCUUUAAUGUUCUUCUGUAAUUCUAUUGAUAGUGAAUAUAAAAAGUGUUGCAAGAAAUCUUCCUUUCACCUGUCUUGAAGAUGUCAUGGUGUUCAAUGUUUUCUAUGGAAAAAUCCUUGUAAUUAUUUCUUCAAAGAGUUUAGUACUAGAAAAAAUGUUUUUUUGCUCAAGCAAAUUGGUAUUAUUUUACUAAGCAAGUGAUUUUUAAACUUCUGUUUUCUGUUUUUUAUCUUGGCCAUUUCAAAAUGUCUGAGCUUAAUGCUUGAUUGAAAUAUUUUUCUUAACCUGUAUUUUUGGUUUAAUAAUCAACAUUUAAUCUUUUAUUAUGUGGCUCUAUUGUAUCUUUUCAGGUGCUUACACAACAGAAAUUUAUUGUCUCAGGAUUGGAGGCUGAAAGUCUAAGAUCAAAGUGUUGGCUGGAUUGCUGCCUUCUGAGGGCUGUGGAGGAUAAUCUAUUCAAUGUCUCUCCCCUUAGCUUUUGGUUUGCUGACAGUCUUGGAUAUUUCUUGGCCUGUAGAAACAUUUUCCCUGUGAAAACAUGAAACAAUCACUUGUUUCAUCUUUACAUGAUGUUUUCCCUUUGUGUGUGUCUGUGUCCAAAGUUCCCUUUUUUUACAGUGUCACCAGUCAUAUUGGAUUAGGGCUACCCUAAUGGCCUCAUCUUAGUUAAUUAUAUCUGAAGUGACCCUAUAUUCAAAUGAGGUCACAUUGCAAUGUACAGGGCAUUAGCACUUCAACAUAGGAAGGUGGUGGGGAUAGGGGAAACACUUGAACUUCUAACAGUUGUGUGGCUAAAUGAAAUAAUAACCUAAAAUGCCUUAUGGAACUUUGGAGUUAGGUACAGAAUUGAGAAUUUGAACUUGAUCUCUUUAUGACUCUCCGCAGAAGCUUUAUCAUAAGCACAGUGUUUAUAGUCAUUAAUCGUUGUUUUCUUACAGUUCUCUGACUUUUUCCUUAGUUUGUGAACUUUUGGGGGAAUUCCAGCUUUUCAAACAGUAUGUCUUGUCCACCUGCUUUGGAUUUCAGUCUUUUCUUCCAGACAGCUUCUAUGGGUUUUAAAACAGAUGUGUAAAUAUUCCAACCUACCUUUUUGUCAUUUAUUUUAAAAAGAGGAAAACCUACAUGGAAAGUUUUCCCUAAUACAUUCUGUUACAAAGAGCACAUUAGUGUUUCAUCAAAAAAAGCAGGCUACUUUUUGCAAAUAAAUUAAAAAGUGGAUUUGGCACUUAAUAUCAACUGGGCAUGCCAAUAUACUGAAUUAUUAUCACAGCAGCCUUGGAAAGUAGAUGCUACCAUUUUAGUGUUACAGAGGAAGAAACUGAGACUUAAAUCUACUGUUGAAGGUCAGUAGUUGGCAACUGGCUGAAACAGACCUCAUGGUCAGUAUUUGUUAAAAGCUUAUGCUCAUUCCACAGUCUAAUAAAGACAAGGAUGGUGUAUCUGCUGAGGGGGUGGAGAAGCCCCUGUUUCUUGGAUCUCCACCCACUGUACUGUCAUCUGGCAUCUCUGAGGUCUCAGUUUCCUCACAGAAAAGUGCAGGCAAUUGGCCGGGUACUGUGGCUCACGCCUGUAAUCCCUGCACUUUGGGAGACUGAGGCAGGUGGAUCACUUGAGCUCACAAGUUUGAGACCACAACCUGAGCAACAUGGCAAAACCCCAACCCUACUAAAAAUGCAAAAAAUGAGCUGGGUGUGGUGGUGCGUGCCUGUAGUCCCAGCUACUUGGGAGGCUGAGGCACAAGAAUCUGCUUGAACCCAGGAGGUGGAGGUUGCAGUGAGCUGAAAUCAUCCCACUGCACUCUAGCCCAGGCAACAGAGUGAGACUCUAUCUCAAAAAAAAAAAAAAAGGCAUUUAAGUGAAAAUAAAUGUUUGUACAAAUGUGCUAGGCUGGGCUUGGUGACUCAUGCCUGUAGUCCCAGGACUUUGGGCGACUGAGGAGGGAGGAUUGCUUGAGUGCAGAAGUUUGAGGCUGCAGUGAGCUGAUUAUGCCACUGCACUCCAGCCUGGGUGACAGAGAGAGGGAGACUGUCUAAAAAAAUGACAACUUCUUGCCACCAAGCUUACAGAAAAAAAAAAACCACUAACAAAAAUGUGCUAUUAGAUUAAGGAAUACCAAAAAGAGAAAGGUGUAUAUAAUUACAGAUAGAUCAAAUGUAGUUACAGAUAAUUUAAGGCCGAAUGCAGUGGCUUACAUCUGUAAUCCCAGCACUGUGGGAGGCCAAGGCAGGAGGAUCGUUUGAACCCAGGAAGUUUUUUUUGAGACAGCGUCUCUUACUGUCACCCAGUCUGGAAUGCAAUGGCAUGAUGACAGCUCACUGCAGCCUUCAGCUUCCCAAGCUCAGGAGUUUGAGACCAGCCUGGGCAACAUGAGACCUUGUCUCUACAAAAUGAAAUAAAAUAAAAUAAAUUCAAACAAAACAAAGCUCAGAUAAUUUAGAUUAGUAGAUAGUACAGAAAUAUGUGAAAAUUUAAAUACUGUGGUUGAAGACAGCAAUAAAAGGAAGUUUUUUUUUUGUCGAAUGAUGUAAAUAGUAUCUUAAGAGGUAAAGGUUUUAACAGCUUGGACUAAUUGGUGAAUACUUUCUAAGAAGGGGGAAUAAAAAAAAAAUAACGUUUAUGAUGACCUAGGAGAAAAGAUGCUAGCCACUUUACUUUAGAUUAUUUUACUUGACGUCAUACCACAACCCUGUGAGAUGGCAUUUAAACUCUUUUUUCAGAUGAAGAAAUGAAAUUUACAGUUAUUUGCUCAUGCUCAUAUAGUUAGUAAAUGGCACAAGUAGGAUUCAAACUCAGUGUGUAACUCCAAGUAUUUUUUCUUUCUCAUCAUACCUGAGUCUUGAAGAACAGGGAGCCAAGUAUGUGUAUUAGAAAUUGAUUGUACUCCAGAUGGUAAAGUGUGGGAGAUUUUAAGCAUGUAGUGAAUAUAUCAUUGUGACUGGAGGAGAAAGUUCAGUCAUGUUAUGAUUCUUGUAAAGAUCUUACAGUAGGUGUAUACUUUUAUUAUUUAAUGCCAUGAUCUUUAAUCUUUCUGAAAUAUUGGUGUAACGUAUUCAAUUCGUUCCCUAGAUGGAUACUCAGUUGUCUUAAGUCCAUUUAUUGAAUCCCUUUUUCCUUUACUAAUUAAAAGAAAAAAAUCUUUAUUGGCCAGGCAUAGCGGUGUGCGCCUGUAGUCCCAGCUACUUAGGAGGCUGAGGUGGGAGGAUUGCUUCAGCCCCGAAGGCCGAGAUUACAGUGAGCCGAGAUUGUGCUACUGCACUCCAGCCUGGGCAACAAAGCUGUCUCAAAAAAAAAGAAAAAGAAAAGCUUUAUUGAAAUAUAAUUUACAUGCUAUUAAAUUCACCUGUUAUAGGUACAAUUCAAUUAUUUUUAGUAACUACAUAGAGUUGUACAGUUUUUUAAAAUAACUUUAAGAUGUUUAUUUUUCAUAACUCUUAAUUGAAGUUUGAUUGUAGAUGGUAUGAUUUUCAUUUUAUAAUUGAUGGUAAUCUGCAUUUUAUAAGCAUUUUGCCCAAGACUUUGUGGCUAGUGAAUGGCAGAACCGAGACGCCAACCCAGCACCUUUUAGGAAUAUUAGCAUGAUAAUUGAGAACAAAUUGGAGGGUAUGCUAAUGUCAGCCUAAGAAGUUUGGAUUUCAUCCUUUAGCGUGAGAAUCACAAGCAUCUUUGUAAUGCCCUACUCAGCGCUUGUAGCUGGGUACUUUUUGGAAAGUGUCUUCUAUAAUGGAACUGUAGUCUCUGAAAAUGCUCUAUGUAGGAAGGGUUCCCUCGUCAAGUAAAUUUGGGAAGUACUCUGUCUUUUUGGAUUAUCACAGUUCACAUUGUAUACACAUACCCUGGGAAGCUGUACAGUAAAGAAAUGGGUUUACUUUUAUUUUUUAACUCGUAUUCCCCCAGAGGUUUCCAAGUUUCUUGACCAUAGAAGACCUUUCAAGUAACACUGCUCUAGUAGGAUGUUUUUGAAGAUUUAGACUCAAUUCAUUAAGACGAGAUAAGUCUGAAAAAGAAAACUAAGCUGCAAAAUUGGAUUUUUUAAAAAGUAGGUUAUUAUUAUGUACAUUUAUCUGUUAAUAGUUGUGGGGUAACUGCUGCUGACAGAUGCAGAAGUUCUGAUUCUUUAGGUAUAAGAUCCUUUGGUCCAAAGUUUGAAAUUUUGUCUCUCUACCUGGUUGAUCCUGCCAGUAGAAAAAAAAAUUUUGUCUCUUGAUUUAUACUUGUAUUUCCUUUUUUUGGUAGAGAUGGGGUCUUGCUUUGUUGCCCAGCUUGGUCCUGAAUUCUUGGGCUCAAGUGAUUAUCCCACCUUAGCCUCCCCCAGAGUGCUGAGAUUAGACAUGAGCCACCAUGCCUGGCCCCAUUUCUUUUAAAAAUUUGAAAGACUGUUUAGUAUAGUAGCAAGAUUUUUUGUUGGUUUGUUUUUGUUUUUUGUGUUCUUUUUUUUUUUUUUUUUUGAGACAGAAUCUCACUCAGUUGCUCAGGCUGGAGUGCAGUGGUACGAUAUCAGCUCACUGAAACCUCUGCCUCCCGGGUUCACACAAUUCUCUGUCUCAGCCUCCCAUGUAGCUGGGAUUACAGGUGUCUGCCACCAUGCCCAGCUAAUUUUUGUUUUAGUAGAGAUGGGGUUUCAUCAUCUUGGUCAGGCUGGUCUUGAACUCCUGACCUUGUGAUCCACCUGCCUCAGCCUCCCAAAGUGCUGGGCUACAGGUGUGAGCCACUACACCCAGCCUGCAGGAUUACUUUUAUGUCCCAGUUGUACCCUUUACUAGUAUUGUGGCUUUGGGCAAGCUAUUUAGUCUCUGAAUCACAGUUUGCUUGACCAUAAAAUAAAAAGAUUAUCAACUUUGCCACAGUUGUUAUUCAGAUGGAGAUUCAUAUCUACAAUAAUGGUUGUUCAAUUUGUUAGUAUUCUAUGGUAUCUCAGUUCAUUUCUGCAGCUAUAACAAAAUAUUGGAGACUGGGUAAUUUUUAUAGAACAGAAAUUUGUUUUUCAGAGUUCUCAAGGCUGGGAAGUCCAAGAUCAAGGUGUGGGUUGGUUUGGUGUCUGAUGAAGGCUGCUGUGUAUGUUUCAGGAUGGUGCCUUGUUGCCAGGUGCUCACAUGGUAGAAGGGUCUAACAGUUUCUUUGUGUUUCAUAAGGGUACUGAUUCCAUUAACAUCAUGACAUGCUCCACCCUCAUGACUUAAUCACCGUCUAAAGGCCCCAACUCUUAAUACUAUCACAUUGUCAAGUUUCAACACAUGAAUUUUGCAGGGGGUGGAAGGGAGAUUCAGACCAUAGGAUUCUGCCCCCAGCCCCUUGAAUCUAUAUCUUUGUCCCCUGCAAAAAAACAUUAAUUCUAUCCUAAUCGUCUCAGAAGUCUUCUAGCACCAAUUCAAAAGUCCACAGUCUCAUCUAAAUUAGGUAUGGGUGAGACUCAAUUGUUCAUCCUAAGGCAAAGUGUUUUCCAGCUAUGAGCCUGUGAAAUCAUACAAGUUACAGUUUUUGGGAAAUAUAGUGGUAGGACAGACAUAGUAUAGAUACUUCCGUUCAGAAACGGAGAAAUUAUAAAGAAGAAAGGGAUAACAGUUCCCAAGAAAGCCCAAAACCCAGCAAGGCAAACAACAUUGAAUCUGAUGCCUGAAAAUAAUCUUAACUUCUUUUCUUGCCUUCUGGACACACUGGGAGUCAGGGUGGGUCCUGAAGGCUCUAGGGAACCCCACCUCUAUGGCUUUAUCUGGGGCAGUCCCUAAUGCAGCUCUCACAUGUUCGAGUCUGGUGCCUCUGACUCUCCUAGGCUGUUGUUACAUGUUGGUGGCUGCAUAGUUCCGGGGUCUCUGGAACAGCCUUGCCUUCACAACUUCAACAGACAUUACCCUGAUAAGAGCUCUCUGCUGCAGCCUGCCCCCAUGGCACUUCUCCAUCUAGCCCCUGAGACUUUCUGAGAAAUCCUUUGAAAUCUAGGUGGGCAUAGCCAUACCUCUGAGUGUACUGCACUCCUGAAGAGUUAACACCAUGUGGGCAUCGCCAAGGUUUACCAAUUGGACCCACUUUUGCCCUCCAGAGUGGUGGCCUGAGCUGCACCUGGCCUCACUUGAGCCACAGUGGGGCAGUCAGAGAGCCUUAUUUGGGAAUAAGGGGAGCAGAGAUGUGAGGCAACCCUGGGCAGCUGGACCUCUCCCUAGAAAAUAGUUCUGUACACAAUGCUCUGCCAUUGUGGGCCUGUGGUGGGGUCUGGCAGCCUUCAAGCAAUCUAAAAUUUGUUUGGGUUCAUUCUUCCAUUGUCUUGAUGAAUAUCACCUGCUUUCUUGUGUCUAUACAGAUCUCAUUUUAAAAAUUUUAUUUAACUUUUUUUAUUUUAAUUUUUUUUUUUUUUAGAGAUGGGGUCUCACUAUGUUGCCCAGGCUGGUUAAUCACCUUAUCAAAAGAUUGCUUGGUCAUGCUUGUGAUACUCUCUUCCAAUACCACCCCCCACCCCCCACCCCCCGUUUUUUUAUUUUGAGGCAGUGUCUUACUCUGUUUGCCAGGCUGGAGUGCAGUGGUGCCGUCUUGGCCCACUGCAGCCUCCAUCUCUAGGGUUCGAGUGAUUCUCCUGCCUCAGCCUUUAGAGUAGCUGGGAAUACAGACACAUGCCACCAUGCCUGGCUAGUUUUUGUAUUUUUAUUAAAGACAGGGUUUUGCCAUUUUGGGCAGGCUGGUCUCGAACUCCUGACCUCAAGUUAUGUGCCCACCUUGGCCUCCCAGAGUGUUGGGAUUAUAGGCGUGAGCCACCAUGGCUGGCCCAAUACCCAUUUUUAAUCUUUACAACCUAGCCAGGCUGAUAAUUUUCCAAAUUUUUAAAUCCUGCUUCCCUUUUCAUUGUAAAUUUCAUCUUUAGGCCAGGUAAGGUGGUUCAUGCCUGUAAUCCUAGCACUUUGGGAGACUGAGGUGGGUGGAUCGCUCGGGCUUGGGAAUUCAAGACCAGGCUGGGCAACAUGGUGAAACCUUGUCUCUACAAAAAAAAUACAAACAAAAAAAAAUUAGCCAGGUGUGGUGGCUUGUGCCUGUAGUCUCACCUAGUUGGGGGCCUGAGGCAAGAGGAUUCCUGGAGCCCAGCAGAUGGAGGUUGCAGUAAGCCUAGAUUGUGCCACUGCACUCCAGCCUGUGUGAACGAGUGAGACCCUGCCUCAAAAAAAAAAAAAAAAAAAAAAAGGGGUUUAAUUCAUUU